UUUCAACAAUGGAUCUCUUGGUUCCGGCAUCGAUGAAGAACGCAGCGAAAUGCGAUAAGUAAUGUGAAUUGCAGAAUUCCGUGAAUCAUCGAAUCUUUGAACGCACAUUGCGCCCC
RNAcentral lists this ribosomal RNA (116 nucleotides) under Penicillium cf. minioluteum A7/1/2/A1. RNAcentral's name for it is "5.8S ribosomal RNA". It matches the Rfam family "5.8S ribosomal RNA", at positions 4 to 119 of the family's 154-position model. Rfam says of the family: 5.8S ribosomal RNA (5.8S rRNA) is a component of the large subunit of the eukaryotic ribosome. RNAcentral also lists the same sequence under 1 other name. Lineage: Eukaryota; Fungi; Ascomycota; Eurotiomycetes; Eurotiales; Aspergillaceae. The record is from RNAcentral.